Molecule: ribosomal RNA, 2592 nt
Filed under: Chlorobiota bacterium
Lineage: Bacteria; Pseudomonadati; Chlorobiota
Description: Chlorobi bacterium partial 23S ribosomal RNA
Rfam family: Bacterial large subunit ribosomal RNA
Source: RNAcentral
UUUGGUUAAGUUAUUAAGGGCACACGGUGAAUGCCUUGGUACGGAUAGGCGAUGAAGGACGCGACUACCUGCGAUAAGCCACGGAUAGGUGGAAAUAACCUAAGACCCGUGGAUUUCCGAAUGGGGCAACCCAUCCCGAGUAAUGUUGGGAUAUCUGCAACUGAAUCCAUAGGUUGUACGAAGCUAACCCGGGGAACUGAAACAUCUAAGUACCCGGUGGAAGAAAAAACAAUAGUGAUUUCCUUAGUAGUGGCGAGCGAAAAGGAAAUAGCCUAAACUGUAUGACGUGUUAAAGGUGGUAACCCUUGCGUCAACAGAGUUGUGGGGCUUGUUCAGGCUGAAUUACCACUAAGCCGAAGAGUCAAAAAUUAUAUUGCUAGCUGAAAGUUCUGGAAAGUUCUACCAUAGAAGGUGAUAGUCCUGUAAGCGAAAGUAAUAUAACUCUUUGGAACAAGAUCCCAAGUACCGCGAAAUAAGUGGAAGUUUGUGGGAAUCUGCCAGAACCAUCUGGUAAGGCUAAAUACUCAUCCGUAACCGAUAGUGAACAAGUACCGUGAGGGAAAGGUGAAAAGAACUCCUUGUAGGAGAGUGAAAUAGUACCUGAACCCGUGUGCUUACAAACGGUUGGAGUCCCGAUUUAUCGGGAUGACAGCGUGCCUUUUGGAUAAUGAGCCAACGAGUUACUCGUAUGUUGCAAGGUUAAUUCCCUAAGGGAAGCAGCCACAGCGAAAGCGAGUCCUAAUCGGGCGAUUGAAGUAACAUGCGGUAGACGCGAAACCGGGUGAUCUACCCUUGUCCAGGAUGAAGUGAGGGUAAAACCUCAUGGAGGUCCGAACUAUUGCGGGUUGAAAACUGCUUGGAUGAGAUGAGGGUAGGGGUGAAAGGCCAAUCAAACUCGGAAAUAGCUCGUAUUCCUCGAAAUAGCUUUAGGGCUAGCCUCGAUUAAUAGUAUGCGGGAGGUAGAGCACUGAUUGGGCUAGGGCUGUCACAACGGUACCAAACCCAGACAAACUCCGAAUGCCCGUCAUAUGUUUUUCGGGAGUCAGGCUGUGAGGGAUAAGCUUCACGGCCAAGAGGGGAACAACCCAGACCACCAACUAAGGUCCCUAAAUAAUAGUUAACAGAGAAAGGAUGUUAAGUUGCUUAGACAACUAGGAUGUUGGCUUAGAAGCAGCCAUUCAUUUAAAGAGUGCGUAAUAGCUCACUAGUCAAGCGACUUAGCGUCGACAAUACACGGGACUUAAACUAUUUACCGAAGUUGUGGAUCCGGCAUUAGCCGGGUGGUAGAGGAACAUUCUAUAUGCAUCGAAGGUUAACUGCGAGGUUAACUGGAGCGUAUAGAAAAGCAAAUGUUGGCAUUAGUAACGAUAAUCUCGGUGCAAAACCGAGACGCCGAAAAUCUAAGGUUUCCUGAGCAAUGUUAGUCAUCUCAGGGUUAGUCGGAUCCUAAGCUGAGGCUGAAAGGCGUAGGUGAUGGCAAACAGGUUAAUAUUCCUGUACCUGGUGAAUUUCGUUUGACCGUAAGGAGAGACGCAGGAGUGAAGAUCAGCCAUCUGUUGGAUUAGAUGGUCUAAGCAUGUAGGCUGAAAGCGUUGGCAAAUCCGCGCUUUCUUAAGGCUGAGAUGCGAACGGGAGUCCUUUGGACGCAAACUGAUCGUAAUCAUACUGCCGAGAAAAUCUUCGUACGGGAGAAAUUUAUCAGUCCGUACCGCAAACCGACACAGGUAGAUGGGAUGAGUAUUCUAAGGCGCUCGAGUGAGCCGUGGUUAAGGAACUCGGCAAAUUAACCCCGUAACUUCGGGAGAAGGGGUGCCUCUUGUAAGUGAUGUCCUUCGCGGGCAUAGCUGAAAGAGGCCGCAGUGAAAUGGCCCAAGCGACUGUUUAACAAAAACACAUGUCUCUGCGAAGUCAAUCAAGACGAUGUAUAGGGACUGACACCUGCCCGGUGCUGGAAGGUUAAGAGGAGAGGUUAGCCGCAAGGCGAAGCCUUGAAUCGAAGCCCCAGUAAACGGCGGCCGUAACUAUAACGGUCCUAAGGUAGCGAAAUUCCUUGUCGGGUAAGUUCCGACCUGCACGAAUGGUGUAACCGGGCUCGGUGAAAUUGUGGUACCGGUGAAGACGCCGGUUACCCGCAUAUGGACGGAAAGACCCCGUGCACCUUUACUGCACCCUAAUAUUGGGUUCGGAUAGGGCAUGUGUAGCAUAGGUGGGAGGCUUUGAAGCCGGGACGCUAGUUUCGGUGGAGCCAAAGGUGAAAUACCACCCUUGUUUUAUUUGGAUUCUAACCUCGAUCCUUGAAUCAGGAUUAGGAACAGUGUUAGGCGGGUAGUUUGACUGGGGCGGUCGCCUCCAAAAAUGUAACGGAGGCUCUCAAUGGUUCCCUCAGCAUGGUUGGUAAUCAUGCGUCGAGUGUAAAGGCACAAGGGAGCUUGACUGCGAGACAUACAGGUCGAGCAGGUGCGAAAGCAGGACUUAGUGAUCCGACGGCUGCGAGUGGAAGUGCCGUCGCUCAAAGGAUAAAAGGUACGCCGGGGAUAACAGGCUGAUCUUACCCAAGAGUUCAUAUCGACGGUAAGGUUUGGCACCUCGAUG